GAAAUGCGAUAACUAGUGUGAAUUGCAGAAUUCAGUGAAUCAUCGAGUCUUUGAACGCACAUUGCGGCCGCCGGUAUUCCGGCGGCCAUGCCUGUCCGAGCGCCACUAAUACCCUCAGAACUAUUUUUCUGGCGUUGGGCGACUGUCUUGUAAAGGCGGUUACCUGAAAAUUAGUGGCGGCGGCGCUCGCGGCGCGACGUACUCAGUAAUACCUACUAGCACGAAGUCCCGGCGUUUUCCGGCCGUCUAUCAAACCCUUUUCCUAUGCAAAGUGGUUGGCCUCGGAUCAGGUAGGAUUACCCGCUGAACUUAA
This 313-nucleotide ribosomal RNA is filed under the name Xylaria sp. 101-253. RNAcentral's name for it is "eukaryotic LSU rRNA". The stretch from base 1 to 105 matches the Rfam family "5.8S ribosomal RNA", at positions 50 to 154 of the family's 154-position model. The record is from RNAcentral. Lineage: Eukaryota; Fungi; Ascomycota; Sordariomycetes; Xylariales; Xylariaceae.